AGGGUUCGAUCCUGGCUCAGAACGUACGCUGGCGGCACGCCUAAUACAUGCAAGUCGAACGAAGUAGCAAUACUUAGUGGCAGACGGGUGAGUAACAUGUAGGUAUCUUCCCUUUGGUGGGGAAUAACACGAGGAAACUUGUGCUAAUACCUCAUAAGUCUUUACGGAGAAAGCUUUAUGCGCCAUUGGAUGAGCCUGCACUUGAUUAGUUUGUUGGUGGGGUAAUGGCCUACCAAGACAAUGAUCAAUAGCUGAUUUGAGAGGAUGAUCAGCCACAUUGGGACUGAGACACGGCCCAAACUCCUACGGGAGGCAGCAGUAGGGAAUCUUGCACAAUGGGGGAAACCCUGAUGCAGCGAUGCCGCGUGAGUGAAGAAGGCCUUUGGGUUGUAAAGCUCUUUCGUCGGGGAAGAAAAUGACUGUACCCGAAUAAGAAGGUCCGGCUAACUUCGUGCCAGCCGCCGCGGUAAUAC
Molecule: ribosomal RNA, 473 nt
Filed under: uncultured bacterium
Lineage: Bacteria
Description: bacterial SSU rRNA
Rfam family: Bacterial small subunit ribosomal RNA
Source: RNAcentral